Molecule: non-coding RNA, 104 nt
Organism: Fukomys damarensis (Damara mole-rat)
Lineage: Eukaryota; Metazoa; Chordata; Mammalia; Rodentia; Bathyergidae
Source: Rfam
AUCCUUUGGUUCAUAAGCCUGUGCUUUGAUGUUCAUGCCACUGUGUGAGAUGUGUCUCCCCCAAAUCUUGUUAUGAUGUCAGUAUAUUCAUUUCCUAUUUGAAG